AACUAAGGAUUUGAAUCUCUGAAGACACUG
RNAcentral lists this non-coding RNA (30 nucleotides) under Cricetulus griseus (Chinese hamster). The record is from RNAcentral. Lineage: Eukaryota; Metazoa; Chordata; Mammalia; Rodentia; Cricetidae.